RNAcentral lists this ribosomal RNA (460 nucleotides) under uncultured bacterium. RNAcentral's name for it is "partial 16S ribosomal RNA". It matches the Rfam family "Bacterial small subunit ribosomal RNA", at positions 338 to 795 of the family's 1533-position model. The record is from RNAcentral.
CCUACGGGAGGCAGCAGUGAGGAAUAUUGGUCAAUGGGCGCGAGCCUGAACCAGCCAAGUAGCGUGAAGGAUGACUGCCCUACGGGUUGUAAACUUCUUUUAUAAAGGAAUAAAGUGAGGCACGUGUGCCUUUUUGUAUUUACUUUAUGAAUAAGGAUCGGCUAACUCCGUGCCAGCAGCCGCGGUAAUACGGAGGAUCCGAGCGUUAUCCGGAUUGAUUGGGUUUAAAGGGAGCGUAGGUGGAUUGUUAAGUCAGUUGUGAAAGUUUGCGGCUCAACCGUAAAAUUGCAGUUGAAACUGGCAGUCUAGAGUACAGUAGAGGUGGGCGGAAUUCGUGGUGUAGCGGUGAAAUGCUUAGAUAUCACGAAGAACUCCGAUAGCGAAGGCAGUUCACUGGACUGCAACUGACACUGAGGCUCGAAAGUGUGGGUAUCAAACAGGAUUAGAUACCCUUGUAGUC